Cordylochernes scorpioides is the source of this 73-nucleotide non-coding RNA. The record is from the annotation of a GenBank genome assembly. NCBI's taxonomy places the organism in Eukaryota, Metazoa, Arthropoda, Arachnida, Pseudoscorpiones, Chernetidae.
GUCCAGGGAUGGGAAUCGAACCCACAGUGUUACGCUUACCGGGCAGAUGCCAUGUCCACUAGGCUACCCUGGA